AGUAACACGUGGGCAACCUGCCCUCAGCUCUGGGAUAACUCCAAGAAAUUGGGGCUAAUACCGGAUAUGACUGCUGACCGCAUGGUCUGGUGGUGGAAAGAUUUAUCGGCUGGGGAUGGGCCCGCGGCCUAUCAGCUUGUUGGUGGGGUAGUGGCCUACCAAGGCGACGACGGGUAGCCGGCCUGAGAGGGUGACCGGCCACACUGGGACUGAGACACGGCCCAG
Molecule: ribosomal RNA, 225 nt
Filed under: uncultured bacterium
Lineage: Bacteria
Description: partial 16S ribosomal RNA
Rfam family: Bacterial small subunit ribosomal RNA
Source: RNAcentral